GAUGAAGAACGCAGCGAAAUGCGAUAAGUAAUGUGAAUUGCAGAAUUUAGUGAAUCAUCGAAUCUUUGAACGCAUAUUGCGCCCGCCAGUAUUCUGGCGGGCAUGCCUGUCUGAGCGUCAUUUCAACCCUCAUGCCCCUAGGGCGUGGUGUUGGGGAUCGGCCAAAGCCCGCGAGGGACGGCCGGCCCCUAAAUCUAGUGGCGGACCCGUCGUGGCCUCCUCUGCGAAGUAGUGAUAUUCCGCAUCGGAGAGCGACGAGCCCCUGCCGUUAAACCCCCAACUUUCCAAGGUUGACCUCAGAUCAGGUAGGAAUACCCGCUGAACUUAAGCAUAUCAAUAAGCGGAGGA
Molecule: unclassified non-coding RNA, 348 nt
Filed under: soil metagenome
Description: partial contains 5.8S ribosomal RNA, internal transcribed spacer 2, and large subunit ribosomal RNA
Rfam family: 5.8S ribosomal RNA (bases 1-120)
Source: RNAcentral